AUGGCCAAAAUCUGCAUACCGUUGGUGUUCUUACUGUGGGACAUUGCCUUAACGCUGGCAAUGCGGGGAUACGUGCUGACAGGACCAAAGAGUCUUCUCUCCAACAGUGUCGAAACUUUUUGCGUUUCUAUUGAAGGCAGCUAUACGAUAGCCAAUUGCACUUUGGAUCUAAUGGCAAGAGAGGGUGAUGAGGUAUAUGCAUCGUCCAGUCGCCGUAUUAAAGAUCCAAAAGAUUGCAUCAAACUGCUGGUGCCCGUUACUGGCGAAUCGAUUGCUCGCUUGCGCUGGCGAAUGCGGUUUGAAAAUUUAGCCAAUUACACGGUCGACAGCAUGAAAGAAGUGGCACUAAGGCAACCCGAGACCAUCCACUUGAUUCAAACUGAUAAGGCUUGGUAUACUCCAGGCCAGCUGGUCCGCUUCAGGAUUCUUAGUCUGAAUCACAUCCUGUUUCCUAUACUAGACCUGGUUAAGCGUGUUUGGGUAGAAGAUCCAACUGGGGCAACUAUAGUCCAAUGGACGAAUUUGACCACGGCUCACGGCAUCCAUCAGUUAGAACUGCAACUGUCUGUCGAGCCUGUUCAAGGUGUAUGGAAAAUUCAAAUGGAAAGAGAAUCACACGAAAGAGGUGUUCAGUAUUUCGAAGUGCGCGAAUACGUCUUACCGAAAUUCGAAGUCAACAUCAAUGCGCCAUCGUUCAUCGCCUAUAACACGGAAAGAGAUCAAUCUGUUCAGAAAAUUCAGAUCUCCAUCUGCGCAAAGUACAGCUACGGUCAACCAGUGCGUGGCAACGUAAGAGCCAACAUUAAAGUGAAAUCCGAUUCUCGGUAUUCCCACCGACGUUAUUUUAUGACACCAAUGCCAGUCAUCGACUUCGAUAGGACUGGUGCCUUGAACGGGGACACUGGUUGCUACAUCCUCAAACUGCCAGGCGAUCAAAUUGGUAUUUCCACUUAUAGCGGAUCCAUCCAAAAGAGUCUUCAAGUCUUAGCUGUUGUAACCGAACAGGGUACUGGGAUCGAAAUGAACAGUACUUGGAGCACAGAAAUUCAACGUCAGACAAUGUCCAUCGACAUCGCGACUUGGAGCAGCAGCACCUUUAAAAGCGGUUUGCCUUACUACGGGAAAGUCAAAGUGACCACGGCUGAUAAUCAGCCAGCUGUGGGUACCGCCGUCGAAAUUUGCGCCAACCCUACGAUCGUUCGUGACGAAAAUGAGUACGACAAAAAAGAGAAAAAUCAGCAAAAGCCCAAUGGAAAGCGCCCAAGCGUCAGCGAUGCUCCAAAGUACUGCUCUCUCCGUGAAGCUGAUGCAAACGGAUUUGUCAGUUUUGAACUGCUACCUAGUGAGCCGGACAUAACUGAAUAUAAUAUCAAAGCUACGGUACCUUCUCCGAGGAGGAGCCGCCGUGCCAUAGGUCCUCAACUAGAUGUCAUUACCGAGGCCCAAUUGAAUAUUCGCAGUCUGUACUCACCCAGUAAAAACUUUAUGGUCUUUGUGCCGCCUCCAAAUUAUCCGAAAGCUGUUGCUUGUCUCUCCGUCCUUCCGAUCAAGCUCUAUUUCACUGCAGAUAAGGACAUCAACUUUAAUGUUCACUACGUGGUAAUGGCGAGGGGCGACGUGAUGCAUACAGGUGUGAAACAAGUCAAAUUCCGCGAAGAAGACAACAUCGAUUUGAGUUUGGGAGAAACGCUGCUCAACAAACGUGACAACGGUGGAUCAGAGUUGGAUUCAGACGUGGAAGCUUCCUUGAAACCCGUCGGAGAUUUGGAAUUUGAAAUUGAAAUCCUUCCGGAAUUCGCACCUAAAAUAUCUUUACUGGCCUAUUAUGUGCGCGAUGACAGGGAAAUGGUCACAGCUCACAUCGAUAUACCCAUCGAGAACUGCUUCCCAAAUCCAGUGAAAUUGUCUUGGUCAUCAACGAGAAAGCAGCCCGGUCAGAAUAUUACCAUGAAUUUAAAAGGUACAGCCGGGUCGAUUUGCGGUUAUUCCGUGGUCGAUCGCAGCGUCACCUAUGCAAGGCCGGAUUUGCAGCUGUCCGAGUCCAAAAUCUACAAUCGAUUACCUGAUCUUCACAUCCCGGCUGGUAGUAGCCCUCAGCAAGUCACACCGGACUGGAAAUAUUGCGAAAAAAAAAAUGGGGAAUCGGACUUUGACGAUCUUCGACGUCGAAAACGAUCGUAUUUCAUAGGGCAUUUCAGCGCGCAGUUCAAAGAUGCCAUGGAAGCCUUCGACAAUGCUGGAAUUCUUGUCAUGUCGGAUUUGAAUAUUGAAACUAGACCAUGUAGGGAAGUAUCGAGAAUUUUCCCUAUGUAUCUCAUGCGGCGCGGAGGAAUGGACCCAAGAUUUAAAAGCGCACGGGUGAGUGCAGAAUCCAUGCCAGCCGAGUCCAGGACAUUUUUUAGUGCGACGGAAGAUGUGAAUUCGUAUGACAGCGUGGUCGACUUGCAAUCGGCUGUUAGUGUCCGUUCCUACUUUCCCGAGACCUGGCUUUGGGAUUUGGUUACUCUUAAUUCCAAAGGAGAAUUUGGCAAAGCAGUCACCCUUCCUCACACGAUCACCACAUGGGUGGGACGGGCACUGUGUGUCUCAGAGUCGCACGGUUUCGGCAUGACCGCGGCCGUAGAUAUCGAAGCCUUCCAACCCUUUUUUGUUGAGGUCCACUUGCCGUACUCGGUGAAAAGGACUGAGAAACUGCAGCUCAAAAUCUCCGUAUUUAACUACGCACCUCAUUCGCUGCCUAUUCGACUGACGCUGGCCUAUUCGGAGCAAUUCGAAUUGAUAAGCGACUCCGAUUCGACGUUGUUGUGUGUUCCAGCCAGAAACAAUGUCGUCCAUCAUUUUGUUAUCCACGCCAUCGAGAUCGGCAAGCACAACGUUUCUGUAUCUGCCACGAUUGACGACAAUUUUCCAGGGGAAUGCGGACCAGAAAUUCUACCGAGUGCCAGCGAUAACGUGAUUAAGGAAUUGCUGGUAAUACCAGAGGGUUUCCCCGUUGAACGAAUUUAUUCUCACAUGGCUUGCCCCAAAGAUUUUGACGAGGAUAAGGCCCUCAUCUGGGAUCUGUCUUUACCCGAAGACCUGGUUGAAGGAUCGGCUAGGGCUUGGGUCACUGCCGUUGGUGAUCUUAUGGGACCUGCAUUACAAGGUUUGUCGGGUCUCGUUCGUUUUCCAACGGGAUGUGGCGAACAAAACAUGAUCCUUUUCACUCCGAAUAUUUACGUCACCCAGUAUUUGGAGGCUACCAAUCAACUGGAGCCUGCAUUUAAAGCUAAAGCCGUGAAUUUCAUGAAAAGCGGCUACCAACGGGAAUUAACAUACCGACAUCAUGAUGGCUCUUAUUCGGCUUUUGGUAAAAACGAUCCACAAGGCUCUUUAUGGCUGACUGCUUUCGUUGUCAAAUCGUUUGCUGCCUCACGCCGUUACAUUCACAUCGAUGACAAUGAACUUCAAACGUCCGUCAGGUGGCUCCAGUCGAAGCAGUUGGAAAACGGAUGUUUUCCAGUUGUUGGCACUGUUCUUCAUGCCGAUUUGAAGGGCGGAUUGGCGGAAAGUGAAGAAAAUUUAGCUCCAUUGACAGCCUUCACAUUAAUAUCACUCUUGGAAAUGCACUCCGAGGACAGCAAAACGACGGAAAGAAAAAAGACGAUGUUGACUGUCAAAAAGUUAUUGGACAAUACAUUACCUUGUCUGGAAUCCGAAGAGUCUGAGAUGACCGAUGUCUACACCAGAGCGUUAACCGCCUACGCCUUAACAUUGGCAGAUCGGUCUGAAUCCGCUCGACGUCACAUCGACUGGCUAAUGGCUCACGCGCAAAACAACAAUUCGCUACUUUGGUGGCAAAAGUCUGGAAGUGGCCCUGCCCUGAAUGUUGAGAUGACAUCGUACGUCUUGCUAAGCUUGGUGAAACUUGGCACUAACCAAGACUUAUUGCAGGCCCGCUCCAUCGUCCGUUGGCUGUCCAAGCAGCGCAAUAGCGAAGGAGGAUUUGUUUCAACUCAAGACACAGUUGUCGCCCUACAGGCUAUCGCGGCAUACGCUUCGGUUAUCGGGGCGCAAUCAGUUGAUAUGGAGAUACUCGUCACUGCUGGCGUUUACGAAAAUUAUGUCCGCAUUCGUGAACUUGAUCGUCUCGUGCAGCGCCGAAUCGAUCUUCCAUCGCCAUUGGCGACAGAAGUUCACAUUGACACUGUCGGUGAGGGUAGCGGUUGUGCGGUUCUCCAGGCUACGCUUCGCUACAACGUUCGAACGGCACCACCAGCCGCAUUGUUUCACCUGAACGUGAGCACAGCGCAGGAGACUGGUGGAGGAGGAGAGAAAUGUCGGCACCAGUUGGUCGUUUGCAGCCGAUAUCUCGGAUCUAAAAAUCAAGAAUCGAACAUGGCGCUGAUCGAGAUCGGAUUUGUUUCCGGCUAUGAAGUUGAUAAAGUGUCGCUCAAUGUACGAGACAUCAAAACACAGAUAAGAGUGUAUUUGUCAGGGGAUGAAGGCGCAGAUCGCCAAAACUGCGACACAUUAAAAAAACACACUGCCUGGAGUGAAGCGUCACGACGUUACGGGAGAUACGGUGGUUCUCUAUUUCGACCAAAUUACUUCGCAGACAGAUGUGUGCGUUUCGCUAGUCGCUCAACACGUCUACCAGGUCGACGAUGCCAAGGAGGCCAACGUCAAGAUUUAUGAUUAUUAUCAACCUGAACAUAGCAAAAUCGUCUCCUACAAUUUACCGAACGGAUGUUCUUUGUCGGAAGUAAAGCCAAUGGUAGCAGUGCCUUUGGCAGACGCUAUGACACUCUCAUUGCCUCGCCCGCUACUUGUGUCU
RNAcentral lists this unclassified non-coding RNA (4816 nucleotides) under Daphnia magna. RNAcentral's name for it is "pregnancy zone protein, transcript variant X1". Lineage: Eukaryota; Metazoa; Arthropoda; Branchiopoda; Diplostraca; Daphniidae. The record is from RNAcentral.